GAAGCACUUUACCAGGGUUUGACAUAUCGAGAUCGGGCCAGAAAUGGUCAUCUCUUUGGACACUCGUAAACAGGUGGUGCAUGGUUGUCGUCAGCUCGUGUCGUGAGAUAUGGGUUAAGUCCCGCAACGAGCGCAACCCUCGUUCUAUGUUGCCAGCACGUAAUGGUGGGAACUCAUGGGAUACUCCCGGGGUCAACUCGGAGGAAGGUGGGGAUGACGUCAAAUCAUCAUGCCCCUUAUGUCUUGGGCUUCACGCAUGCUACAAUGGCCGGUACAAAGGGCUGCAAUACCGCGAGGUGGAGCGAAUCCCAAAAAGCCGGUCCCAGUUCGGAUUGAGGUCUGCAACUCGACCUCAUGAAGUCGGAGUCGCUAGUAAUCGCAGAUCAGCAACGCUGCGGUGAAUACGUUCCCGGGUCUUGUACACACCGCCCGUCAAGUCAUGAAAGUCGGUAACACCUGAAGCCGGUGGCCUAACCCUGGGAGGGA
RNAcentral lists this ribosomal RNA (486 nucleotides) under Microbacterium sp. M1-12. RNAcentral describes it as "bacterial SSU rRNA". It matches the Rfam family "Bacterial small subunit ribosomal RNA", at positions 963 to 1451 of the family's 1533-position model. The record is from RNAcentral. Lineage: Bacteria; Bacillati; Actinomycetota; Actinomycetes; Micrococcales; Microbacteriaceae.